RNAcentral lists this ribosomal RNA (279 nucleotides) under uncultured bacterium. Its description in RNAcentral is "partial 16S ribosomal RNA". It matches the Rfam family "Bacterial small subunit ribosomal RNA", at positions 28 to 304 of the family's 1533-position model. The record is from RNAcentral.
GAUUAACGCUAGCGGCAGGCCUAAUACAUGCAAGUCGAACGGCAGCGGGUGUAGCAAUACAUGCCGGCGAGUGGCGCACGGGUGCGUAACGCGUAUGCAAUCUACCUAUAACUGGGGAAUAGCCUUCCGAAAGGAAGAUUAAAACCGCAUAAUAUCACGAAGCGGCAUCGUUUUGUGAUCAAAACUCCGGUGGUUAUAGAUGAGCAUGCGUGACAUUAGCUAGUUGGUGAGGUAACGGCUCACCAAGGCGACGAUGUCUAGGGGGUCUGAGAGGAUGAU